Molecule: ribosomal RNA, 640 nt
Filed under: uncultured bacterium
Lineage: Bacteria
Description: bacterial SSU rRNA
Rfam family: Bacterial small subunit ribosomal RNA
Source: RNAcentral
CCCUGGAUGGGGAUACGUAGCGAAGUUACGCUAAUACCGCCUCGAUCUCGGAUGAAAGUGGGGAUCGCAAGACCUCAUGCUCGUGGAGCGGCCGAUAUCUGAUAGCUAGUUGGUAGGGUAAAAGCCUACCAAGGCAUCGAUCAGUAGCUGGUCUGAGAGGACGACCAGCCACACUGAACUGAGACACGGUCCAGACUCCUACGGGAGGCAGCAGUGGGGAAUUUUGGACAAUGGGCGAAAGCCUGAUCCAGCAAUGCCGCGUGAGUGAAGAAGGCCUUCGGGUUGUAAAGCUCUUUUGUCAGGGAAGAAACGGUGAGGGCUAAUAUCUCUUGCUAAUGACGGUACCUGAAGAAUAAGCACCGGCUAACUACGUGCCAGCAGCCGCGGUAAUACGUAGGGUGCAAGCGUUAAUCGGAAUUACUGGGCGUAAAGCGUGCGCAGGCGGUUUUGUAAGUCUGAUGUGAAAUCCCCGGGCUCAACCUGGGAAUUGCAUUGGAGACUGCAAGGCUAGAAUCUGGCAGAGGGGGGUAGAAUUCCACGUGUAGCAGUGAAAUGCGUAGAUAUGUGGAGGAACACCGAUGGCGAAGGCAGCCCCCUGGGUCAAGAUUGACGCUCAUGCACGAAAGCGUGGGGAGCAAAC